RNAcentral lists this ribosomal RNA (497 nucleotides) under uncultured bacterium. Its description in RNAcentral is "partial 16S ribosomal RNA". It matches the Rfam family "Bacterial small subunit ribosomal RNA", at positions 28 to 507 of the family's 1533-position model. The record is from RNAcentral.
GACGAACGCUGGCGGCGUGCCUAAUACAUGCAAGUUGAGCGAUGAAGAUUGGUGCUUGCACCAAUUUGAAGAGCAGCGAACGGGUGAGUAACGCGUGGGGAAUCUGCCUUUGAGCGGGGGACAACAUUUGGAAACGAAUGCUAAUACCGCAUAACAACUUUAAACAUAAGUUUUAAGUUUGAAAGAUGCAAUUGCAUCACUCAAAGAUGAUCCCGCGUUGUAUUAGCUAGUUGGUGAGGUAAAGGCUCACCAAGGCGAUGAUACAUAGCCGACCUGAGAGGGUGAUCGGCCACAUUGGGACUGAGACACGGCCCAAACUCCUACGGGAGGCAGCAGUAGGGAAUCUUCGGCAAUGGACGAAAGUCUGACCGAGCAACGCCGCGUGAGUGAAGAAGGUUUUCGGAUCGUAAAACUCUGUUGGUAGAGAAGAACGUUGGUGAGAGUGGAAAGCUCAUCAAGUGACGGUAACUACCCAGAAAGGGACGGCCAACUACGUG